CUAUACCAUUAUUGUUUAACACUAUACUAUAUUAAAAGUUAAUAUGGUUAAAACUGAAAUUCGCAUACAAACCAAUAACCCUUACAAAAGAAACUCUAUACCGUUUAAAAAAAAUUGCAAAACACCCCAUAAAAAGACACAUAAACCCAACAUCCAACCCCAACACCCCAAACAACCCUUCAUCAACACUAAACUCAAUACCUUUACACACGUUAACAUUUCCACCUAAGCACAACAAACCAAUCCGUAGGGAAAACUAAACCCAAAUCCCCACCCCACCCCCCUAAACCCUAAAUCCAAUACAAUAUCCCCUUUUAAUAAUACAAAACCUAAAUAUAUAACACCCCCAC
This 350-nucleotide long non-coding RNA is filed under the name Brassica napus (rape). RNAcentral's name for it is "long non-coding RNA (BNAP_LNC011178)". The record is from RNAcentral. Lineage: Eukaryota; Viridiplantae; Streptophyta; Magnoliopsida; Brassicales; Brassicaceae.